RNAcentral lists this ribosomal RNA (2153 nucleotides) under Salmonella enterica. RNAcentral's name for it is "partial 23S ribosomal RNA". The record is from RNAcentral. Lineage: Bacteria; Pseudomonadati; Pseudomonadota; Gammaproteobacteria; Enterobacterales; Enterobacteriaceae.
GGGCGUUAAGUUGCAGGGUAUAGACCCGAAACCCGGUGAUCUAGCCAUGGGCAGGUUGAAGGUUGGGUAACACUAACUGGAGGACCGAACCGACUAAUGUUGAAAAAUUAGCGGAUGACCUGUGGCUGGGGGUGAAAGGCCAAUCAAACCGGGAGAUAGCUGGUUCUCCCCGAAAGCUAUUUAGGUAGCGCCUCGUGAAYUCAUCUCCGGGGGUAGAGCACUGUUUCGGCUAGGGGGCCAUCCCGGCUUACCAACCCGAUGCAAACUGCGAAUACCGGAGAAUGUUAUCACGGGAGACACACGGCGGGUGCUAACGUCCGUCGUGAAGAGGGAAACAACCCAGACCGCCAGCUAAGGUCCCAAAGUCAUGGUUAAGUGGGAAACGAUGUGGGAAGGCCCAGACAGCCAGGAUGUUGGCUUAGAAGCAGCCAUCAUUUAAAGAAAGCGUAAUAGCUCACUGGUCGAGUCGGCCUGCGCGGAAGAUGUAACGGGGCUAAACCAUGCACCGAAGCUGCGGCAGCGACRCUGUGYGUUGUUGGGUAGGGGAGCGUUCUGUAAGCCUGUGAAGGUGKSYYGUGAGGSWUGCUGGAGGUAUCAGAAGUGCGAAUGCUGACAUAAGUAACGAUAAAGCGGGUGAAAAGCCCGCUCGCCGGAAGACCAAGGGUUCCUGUCCAACGUUAAUCGGGGCAGGGUGAGUCGACCCCUAAGGCGAGGCCGAAAGGCGUAGUCGAUGGGAAACGGGUUAAUAUUCCCGUACUUGGUGUUACUGCGAAGGGGGGACGGAGAAGGCUAUGUUGGCCGGGCGACGGUUGUCCCGGUUUAAGCGUGUAGGUGUGUGUUCCAGGUAAAUCCGGUUCACUUUAACACUGAGGCGUGAYGACGAGGCACUACGGUGCUGAAGCAACAAAUGCCCUGCUUCCAGGAAAAGCCUCUAAGCAUCAGGUAACAUCAAAUCGUACCCCAAACCGACACAGGUGGUCAGGUAGAGAAUACCAAGGCGCUUGAGAGAACUCGGGUGAAGGAACUAGGCAAAAUGGUGCCGUAACUUCGGGAGAAGGCACGCUGACACGUAGGUGAAGUGAUUUACUCAUGGAGCUGAAGUCAGUCGAAGAUACCAGCUGGCUGCAACUGUUUAUUAAAAACACAGCACUGUGCAAACACGAAAGUGGACGUAUACGGUGUGACGCCUGCCCGGUGCCGGAAGGUUAAUUGAUGGGGUCAGCGCAAGCGAAGCUCCUGAUCGAAGCCCCGGUAAACGGCGGCCGUAACUAUAACGGUCCUAAGGUAGCGAAAUUCCUUGUCGGGUAAGUUCCGACCUGCACGAAUGGCGUAAUGAUGGCCAGGCUGUCUCCACCCGAGACUCAGUGAAAUUGAACUCGCUGUGAAGAUGCAGUGUACCCGCGGCAAGACGGAAAGACCCCGUGAACCUUUACUAUAGCUUGACACUGAACAUUGAGCCUUGAUGUGUAGGAUAGGUGGGAGGCUUUGAAGYGUGGACGCCAGUCUGCRUGGAGCCGACCUUGAAAUACCACCCUUUAAUGUUUGAUGUUCUAACGUGGACCCGUAAUCCGGGUUGCGGACAGUGUCUGGUGGGUAGUUUGACUGGGGCGGUCUCCUCCUAAAGAGUAACGGAGGAGCACGAAGGUUGGCUAAUCCUGGUCGGACAUCAGGAGGUUAGUGCAAUGGCAUAAGCCAGCUUGACUGCGAGCGUGACGGCGCGAGCAGGUGCGAAAGCAGGUCAUAGUGAUCCGGUGGUUCUGAAUGGAAGGGCCAUCGCUCAACGGAUAAAAGGUACUCCGGGGAUAACAGGCUGAUACCGCCCAAGAGUUCAUAUCGACGGCGGUGUUUGGCACCUCGAUGUCGGCUCAUCACAUCCUGGGGCUGAAGUAGGUCCCAAGGGUAUGGCUGUUCGCCAUUUAAAGUGGUACGCGAGCUGGGUUUAGAACGUCGUGAGACAGUUCGGUCCCUAUCUGCCGUGGGCGCUGGAGAACUGAGGGGGGCUGCUCCUAGUACGAGAGGACCGGAGUGGACGCAUCACUGGUGUUCGGGUUGUCAUGCCAAUGGCACUGCCCGGUAGCUAAAUGCGGAAGAGAUAAGUGCUGAAAGCAUCUAAGCACGAAACUUGCCCCGAGAUGAGUUCUCCCUGAGACUUA